GUCUAUGGCCAUACCACACUGAAUACACCCAGUCGCAUCUGAUCUCAGAAGCUAAGCAGGGUUGGCGCUGGUUAUUACUCAGAUGGGAGUGUAUCAAAGACA
RNAcentral lists this ribosomal RNA (102 nucleotides) under Cercocebus atys (sooty mangabey). The record is from RNAcentral. Lineage: Eukaryota; Metazoa; Chordata; Mammalia; Primates; Cercopithecidae.